RNAcentral lists this transfer RNA (77 nucleotides) under Pseudomonadota bacterium. RNAcentral's name for it is "tRNA-Arg". It matches the Rfam family "tRNA". Rfam says of the family: Transfer RNA (tRNA) molecules are approximately 80 nucleotides in length. The record is from RNAcentral. RNAcentral also lists the same sequence under 2 other names. Lineage: Bacteria; Pseudomonadati; Pseudomonadota.
GCGCCCGUAGCUCAGUUGGAUAGAGCGCCGGACUACGAAUCCGUAGGUCGGGGGUUCGAAUCCCUCCGGGCGCGCCA